UACGGAGGGUGCAAGCGUUAUCCGGAUUCACUGGGUUUAAAGGGUGCGUAGGCGGGUAGGUAAGUCAGUGGUGAAAUCUUCGAGCUUAACUCGGAAACUGCCUUUGAUACUAUCUAUCUUGAAUAUUGUGGAGGUAAGCGGAAUAUGUCAUGUAGCGGUGAAAAUGCUUAGAUAUGACAUAGAACACCUAUUGCGAAGGCAGCUUACUACGCAUAUAUUGACGCUGAGGCACGAAAGCGUGGGGAUCAAACAGG
This 254-nucleotide ribosomal RNA is filed under the name uncultured bacterium. RNAcentral's name for it is "partial 16S ribosomal RNA". It matches the Rfam family "Bacterial small subunit ribosomal RNA", at positions 524 to 776 of the family's 1533-position model. The record is from RNAcentral.